Molecule: ribosomal RNA, 772 nt
Filed under: Wolbachia endosymbiont of Benthana taeniata
Lineage: Bacteria; Pseudomonadati; Pseudomonadota; Alphaproteobacteria; Rickettsiales; Anaplasmataceae
Description: bacterial SSU rRNA
Rfam family: Bacterial small subunit ribosomal RNA
Source: RNAcentral
CUACGGGGGAAAAAUUUAUUGCUAUUAGAUGAGCCUAUAUUAGAUUAGCUAGUUGGUGGAGUAAUAGCCUACCAAGGCAAUGAUCUAUAGCUGAUCUGAGAGGAUGAUCAGCCACACUGGAACUGAGAUACGGUCCAGACUCCUACGGGAGGCAGCAGUGGGGAAUAUUGGACAAUGGGCGAAAGCCUGAUCCAGCCAUGCCGCAUGAGGGAAGAAGGCAUUUGGGUUGUAAAGCUCUUUUAGUGAGGAAGAUAAUGACGGUACUCACAGAAGAAGUCCUGGCUAACUCCGUGCCAGCAGCCGUGGUAAUACGGAGAGGGCUAGCGUUAUUCGGAAUUAUUGGGCGUAAAGGGUGCGUAGGCUGAUUAAUAAGUUAAAAGUGAAAUCCCAAGGCUUAACCUUGGAAUUGCUUUUAAAACUGUUAAUCUAGAGAUUGAAAGAGGAUAGAGGAAUUCCUAGUGUAGAGGUAAAAUUCGUAAAUAUUAGGAGGAACACCAGUGGCGAAGGCGUCUAUCUGGUUCAAAUCUGACGCUGAAGCGCGAAGGCGUGGGGAGCAAACAGGAUUAGAUACCCUGGUAGUCCACGCUGUAAACGAUGAAUGUUAAAUAUGGGAAGUUUACUUUCUGUAUUACAGCUAACGCGUUAAACAUUCCGCCUGGGGACUACGGUCGCAAGAUUAAAACUCAAAGGAAUUGACGGGGACCCGCACAAGCGGUGGAGCAUGUGGUUUAAUUCGAUGCAACGCGAAAAACCUUACCACUUCUUGACAUGA